CUUGGUCAUUUAGAGGAAGUAAAAGUCGUAACAAGGUUUCCGUAGGUGAACCUGCGGAAGGAUCAUUACAGUAGUCGCCCGGGUUGCCGCAAGGCCUCCCGGGUAACCUACCACCCUUUGUUUAUCACACUUUGUUGCUUUGGCAGGCCUGCCCUCGGGCUGCUGGCUCCGGCCGGCGAGCGCCUGCCAGAGGACCUAAACUCUGUUUGUCUAUACUGUCUGAGUACUAUAUAAUAGUUAAAACUUUCAACAACGGAUCUCUUGGUUCUGGCAUCGAUGAAGAACGCAGCGAAAUGCGAUAAGUAAUGUGAAUUGCAGAAUUCAGUGAAUCAUCGAAUCUUUGAACGCACAUUGCGCCCCCUGGUAUUCCGGGGGGCAUGCCUGUCCGAGCGUCAUUACAACCCUCAAGCUCAGCUUGGUGUUGGGCCCCGCCGCCCCGGCGGGCCCUAAAGUCAGUGGCGGUGCCGUCCGGCUCCGAGCGUAGUAAUUCUUCUCGCUCUGGAGGUCCGGUCGUGUGCUUGCCAGCAACCCCCAAUUUUUUUCAGGUUGACCUCGGAUCAGGUAGGGAUACCCGCUGAACUUAAGCAUAUCAAUAAGCGGAGGA
RNAcentral lists this ribosomal RNA (604 nucleotides) under uncultured fungus. RNAcentral describes it as "eukaryotic LSU rRNA". The stretch from base 242 to 395 matches the Rfam family "5.8S ribosomal RNA". The record is from RNAcentral. Lineage: Eukaryota; Fungi.